GAUGAACGCUGGCGGCGUGCUUAGCACAUGCAAGUCGAACGGUGAAGGCGGAGCUUGCUCUGCUGGAUCAGUGGCGAACGGGUGAGUAACACGUGAGCAAUCUGCCCCUGACUCUGGGAUAAGCGCUGGAAACGGCGUCUAAUACUGGAUACGAGCUGCGAAGGCAUCUUCAGCAGCUGGAAAGAAUUUCGGUCAGGGAUGAGCUCGCGGCCUAUCAGCUUGUUGGUGAGGUAAUGGCUCACCAAGGCGUCGACGGGUAGCCGGCCUGAGAGGGUGACCGGCCACAAUGGGACUGAGACACGGCCCAGACUCCUACGGGAGGCAGCAGUGGGGAAUAUUGCACAAUGGGCGAAAGCCUGAUGCAGCAACGCCGCGUGAGGGACGACGGCCUUCGGGUUGUAAACCUCUUUUAGCAGGGAAGAAGCGAAAGUGACGGUACCUGCAGAAAAAGCGCCGGCUAACUACGUG
RNAcentral lists this ribosomal RNA (468 nucleotides) under uncultured bacterium. Its description in RNAcentral is "partial 16S ribosomal RNA". It matches the Rfam family "Bacterial small subunit ribosomal RNA", at positions 28 to 507 of the family's 1533-position model. The record is from RNAcentral.